RNAcentral lists this transfer RNA (76 nucleotides) under Dallia pectoralis (Alaska blackfish). Its description in RNAcentral is "tRNA-OTHER". It matches the Rfam family "tRNA". Rfam says of the family: Transfer RNA (tRNA) molecules are approximately 80 nucleotides in length. Their secondary structure includes four short double-helical elements and three loops (D, anti-codon, and T loops). The record is from RNAcentral. Lineage: Eukaryota; Metazoa; Chordata; Actinopteri; Esociformes; Umbridae.
GGAGCAGUUGGUAGCUCGGUGGUAGAGCGCAUGCUUUGUGUGUAUGAUGACCUGGGUUCAAAUCCGAGCUGCUCCC